Molecule: ribosomal RNA, 429 nt
Filed under: Chloroflexota bacterium
Lineage: Bacteria; Bacillati; Chloroflexota
Also listed under: 1 other name
Description: Chloroflexi bacterium partial 16S ribosomal RNA
Rfam family: Bacterial small subunit ribosomal RNA
Source: RNAcentral
UAGGGAAUCUUCGGCAAUGGACGAAAGUCUGACCGAGCAACGCCGCGUGAGUGAAGAAGGUUUUCGGAUCGUAAAGCUCUGUUGUUAGAGAAGAACAAGGACGUUAGUAACUGAACGUCCCCUGACGGUAUCUAACCAGAAAGCCACGGCUAACUACGUGCCAGCAGCCGCGGUAAUACGUAGGUGGCAAGCGUUGUCCGGAUUUAUUGGGCGUAAAGCGAGCGCAGGCGGUUUCUUAAGUCUGAUGUGAAAGCCCCCGGCUCAACCGGGGAGGGUCAUUGGAAACUGGGAGACUUGAGUGCAGAAGAGGAGAGUGGAAUUCCAUGUGUAGCGGUGAAAUGCGUAGAUAUAUGGAGGAACACCAGUGGCGAAGGCGGCUCUCUGGUCUGUAACUGACGCUGAGGCUCGAAAGCGUGGGGAGCAAACAGG